This 2925-nucleotide ribosomal RNA is filed under the name Klebsiella aerogenes. Its description in RNAcentral is "bacterial LSU rRNA". It matches the Rfam family "Bacterial large subunit ribosomal RNA". The record is from RNAcentral. Lineage: Bacteria; Pseudomonadati; Pseudomonadota; Gammaproteobacteria; Enterobacterales; Enterobacteriaceae.
GGGUUGUGAGGUUAAGCGACUAAGCGUACACGGUGGAUGCCCUGGCAGUCAGAGGCGAUGAAGGACGUGCUAAUCUGCGAAAAGCGUCGGUAAGGUGAUAUGAACCGUUACAGCCGGCGAUGUCCGAAUGGGGAAACCCAGUGCAAUUCGUUGCACUAUCGUUAACUGAAUACAUAGGUUAACGAGGCGAACCGGGGGAACUGAAACAUCUAAGUACCCCGAGGAAAAGAAAUCAACCGAGAUUCCCCCAGUAGCGGCGAGCGAACGGGGAGCAGCCCAGAGUCUGAAUCAGCUUGUGUGUUAGUGGAACGGUCUGGAAAGUCCGACGGUACAGGGUGAUAGUCCCGUACACCAAAAUGCACAGGUUGUGAACUCGAAGAGUAGGGCGGGACACGUGGUAUCCUGUCUGAAUAUGGGGGGACCAUCCUCCAAGGCUAAAUACUCCUGACUGACCGAUAGUGAACCAGUACCGUGAGGGAAAGGCGAAAAGAACCCCGGCGAGGGGAGUGAAAAAGAACCUGAAACCGUGUACGUACAAGCAGUGGGAGCACCUUCGGGUGUGACUGCGUACCUUUUGUAUAAUGGGUCAGCGACUUAUAUUCUGUAGCAAGGUUAACCGUAUAGGGGAGCCGCAGGGAAACCGAGUCUUAACUGGGCGUUAAGUUGCAGGGUAUAGACCCGAAACCCGGUGAUCUAGCCAUGGGCAGGUUGAAGGUUGGGUAACACUAACUGGAGGACCGAACCGACUAAUGUUGAAAAAUUAGCGGAUGACUUGUGGCUGGGGGUGAAAGGCCAAUCAAACCGGGAGAUAGCUGGUUCUCCCCGAAAGCUAUUUAGGUAGCGCCUCGUGAACUCAUCUUCGGGGGUAGAGCACUGUUUCGGCUAGGGGGUCAUCCCGACUUACCAACCCGAUGCAAACUACGAAUACCGAAGAAUGUUAUCACGGGAGACACACGGCGGGUGCUAACGUCCGUCGUGAAGAGGGAAACAACCCAGACCGCCAGCUAAGGUCCCAAAGUCACAGUUAAGUGGGAAACGAUGUGGGAAGGCACAGACAGCCAGGAUGUUGGCUUAGAAGCAGCCAUCAUUUAAAGAAAGCGUAAUAGCUCACUGGUCGAGUCGGCCUGCGCGGAAGAUGUAACGGGGCUAAACUGUGCACCGAAGCUGCGGCAGCGACACUAUGUGUUGUUGGGUAGGGGAGCGUUCUGUAAGCCUGCGAAGGUGGCCUGUGAGGGUUGCUGGAGGUAUCAGAAGUGCGAAUGCUGACAUAAGUAACGAUAAUGCGGGUGAAAAGCCCGCACGCCGGAAGACCAAGGGUUCCUGUCCAACGUUAAUCGGGGCAGGGUGAGUCGACCCCUAAGGCGAGGCCGAAAGGCGUAGUCGAUGGGAAACAGGUUAAUAUUCCUGUACUUGGUGUUACUGCGAAGGGGGGACGGAGAAGGCUAUGUUAGCCGGGCGACGGUUGUCCCGGUUUAAGCAUGUAGGCGGAGGUUCCAGGUAAAUCCGGUACCUUUUAACGCUGAGGUGUGAUGACGAGGCACUACGGUGCUGAAGUAACAAAUGCCCUGCUUCCAGGAAAAGCCUCUAAGCAUCAGGUAACAUUAAAUCGUACCCCAAACCGACACAGGUGGUCAGGUAGAGAAUACCAAGGCGCUUGAGAGAACUCGGGUGAAGGAACUAGGCAAAAUGGUGCCGUAACUUCGGGAGAAGGCACGCUGAUAUGUAGGUGAAGCCCCUGCGGGUGGAGCUGAAAUCAGUCGAAGAUACCAGCUGGCUGCAACUGUUUAUUAAAAACACAGCACUGUGCAAACACGAAAGUGGACGUAUACGGUGUGACGCCUGCCCGGUGCCGGAAGGUUAAUUGAUGGGGUUAUCCGUAAGGAGAAGCUCUUGAUCGAAGCCCCGGUAAACGGCGGCCGUAACUAUAACGGUCCUAAGGUAGCGAAAUUCCUUGUCGGGUAAGUUCCGACCUGCACGAAUGGCGUAAUGAUGGCCAGGCUGUCUCCACCCGAGACUCAGUGAAAUUGAACUCGCUGUGAAGAUGCAGUGUACCCGCGGCAAGACGGAAAGACCCCGUGAACCUUUACUAUAGCUUGACACUGAACAUUGAGCCUUGAUGUGUAGGAUAGGUGGGAGGCUUUGAAGCGUGGACGCCAGUCUGCGUGGAGCCAACCUUGAAAUACCACCCUUUAAUGUUUGAUGUUCUAACGUUGGCCCCUUAUCGGGGUUGCGGACAGUGUCUGGUGGGUAGUUUGACUGGGGCGGUCUCCUCCCAAAGAGUAACGGAGGAGCACGAAGGUUAGCUAAUCCUGGUCGGACAUCAGGAGGUUAGUGCAAUGGCAUAAGCUAGCUUGACUGCGAGCGUGACGGCGCGAGCAGGUGCGAAAGCAGGUCAUAGUGAUCCGGUGGUUCUGAAUGGAAGGGCCAUCGCUCAACGGAUAAAAGGUACUCCGGGGAUAACAGGCUGAUACCGCCCAAGAGUUCAUAUCGACGGCGGUGUUUGGCACCUCGAUGUCGGCUCAUCACAUCCUGGGGCUGAAGUAGGUCCCAAGGGUAUGGCUGUUCGCCAUUUAAAGUGGUACGCGAGCUGGGUUUAGAACGUCGUGAGACAGUUCGGUCCCUAUCUGCCGUGGGCGCUGGAGAAUUGAGGGGGGCUGCUCCUAGUACGAGAGGACCGGAGUGGACGCAUCACUGGUGUUCGGGUUGUCAUGCCAAUGGCAUUGCCCGGUAGCUAAAUGCGGAAGAGAUAAGUGCUGAAAGCAUCUAAGCACGAAACUUGCCCCGAGAUGAGUUCUCCCUGAGACUUUAAGUCUCCUGAAGGAACGUUAAAGACGAUGACGUUGAUAGGUCGGGUGUGUAAGCGUAGCGAUACGUUGAGCUAACCGAUACUAAUGAACCGUGAGGCUUAACCUUACAACGCCGAAG